GACGAACGCUGGCGGCGUGCUUAACACAUGCAAGUCGAACGGAAAGGCCCUGCUUGCAGGGUACUCGAGUGGCGAACGGGUGAGUAACACGUGGGUGAUCUGCCCUGCACUUCGGGAUAAGCCUGGGCAACUGGGUCUAAUACCGGAUAGGAGCCAUUUUUAGUGUGAUGGUUGGAAAGUUUUUUCGGUGUAGGAUGAGCUCGCGGCCUAUCAGCUUGUUGGUGGGGUAAUGGCCUACCAAGGCGGCGACGGGUAGCCGGGCUGCGAGGGUGGACGGCCACAGUGGGGCUGAGAUACGGCCCAGACACCUACGGGAGGCAGCAGUGGGGAAUAUUGCUCAAGGGGCGCAAGCCUGAUGCAGCGGCGCCGCGUGGGGGAUGACGGCCUUCGGGUUGGAAACGCCUUUCGCUAGGGACGAAGCUUUUUGUGACGGUACCUAGAUAAGAAGCGCCGGCUAACUACGUG
RNAcentral lists this ribosomal RNA (465 nucleotides) under uncultured bacterium. RNAcentral describes it as "partial 16S ribosomal RNA". It matches the Rfam family "Bacterial small subunit ribosomal RNA", at positions 28 to 507 of the family's 1533-position model. The record is from RNAcentral.